GCCGGAGUGGUGAAAUAGGCAGACGCGCCGGACUCAAAAUCCGGUGGCCUCCGGGCCGUGUGGGUUCGAGUCCCACCUCCGGCA
This 84-nucleotide transfer RNA is filed under the name Candidatus Fermentibacterota bacterium. RNAcentral's name for it is "tRNA-Leu". It matches the Rfam family "tRNA". From Rfam's summary of the family: Transfer RNA (tRNA) molecules are approximately 80 nucleotides in length. Their secondary structure includes four short double-helical elements and three loops (D, anti-codon, and T loops). Further hydrogen bonds mediate the characteristic L-shaped molecular structure. tRNAs have two regions of fundamental functional importance: the anti-codon, which is responsible for specific mRNA codon recognition, and the 3' end, to which the tRNAs corresponding amino acid is attached (by aminoacyl-tRNA synthetases). tRNAs cope with the degeneracy of the genetic code in two manners: having more than one tRNA (with a specific anti-codon) for a particular amino acid; and 'wobble' base-pairing, i.e. permitting non-standard base-pairing at the 3rd anti-codon position. Lineage: Bacteria; Pseudomonadati; Candidatus Fermentibacterota. The record is from RNAcentral.